Molecule: long non-coding RNA, 374 nt
Organism: Ostrinia nubilalis (European corn borer)
Lineage: Eukaryota; Metazoa; Arthropoda; Insecta; Lepidoptera; Crambidae
Exons: 3
Source: RefSeq, a predicted model, not a curated record
CUUGAAUUCUACGAUGAGAAGUAUAUCGAGGAUGUAAUAUUUAACGUGAGGCGUAACGGCAGGAAAAGUGGCUAUUUAGUCAAUUUAGAGGGAACUCUCAAAUAUGCUUGGAGUGAUAAUAUCUCGUUACACAUUUAUCUAUACGAGUUCCUUCACAAUGAAUACAGACCCACGUUCGUGGAGUUUCAUUUUGAGAAGUUCUGUCAGUUGAUAAAAGAUAAGCUCAUUGGAAAGGCUUUAAACAAUGCUGGACUUACCAAGUGCCCUCUUACACCGAAACGUUACGUCCUGUCAAAUAUGUCAAUGCCAUUUGAUAACUUUCCCUACAUCUGGCCAUUCGAGAAAGCGAGAGGAGAUGGAAUAUUUAUUUUUAA